ACGCUUCUUUUUCCCCCUAGCUUGCUCCACCACAAAAAGAGGAGUGGCGAACGGGUGAGUAACACGUGGGUAACCUGCCCAUCAGAAGGGGAUAACACUUGGAAACAGGUGCUAAUACCGUAUAACAAUCGAAACCGCAUGGUUUUGAUUUGAAAGGCGCUUUCGGGUGUCGCUGAUGGAUGGACCCGCGGUGCAUUAGCUAGUUGGUGAGGUAACGGCUCACCAAGGCGACGAUGCAUAGCCGACCUGAGAGGGUGAUCGGCCACAUUGGGACUGAGACACGGCCCAAACUCCUACGGGAGGCAGCAGUAGGGAAUCUUCGGCAAUGGACGAAAGUCUGACCGAGCAACGCCGCGUGAGUGAAGAAGGUUUUCGGAUCGUAAAACUCUGUUGUUAGAGAAGAACAAGGAUGAGAGUAACUGUUCAUCCCUUGACGGUAUCUAACCAGAAAGCCACGGCUAACUACGUGCCAGCAGCCGCGGUAAUACGUAGGUGGCAAGCGUUGUCCGGAUUUAUUGGGCGUAAAGCGAGCGCAGGCGGUUUCUUAAGUCUGAUGUGAAAGCCCCCGGCUCAACCGGGGAGGGUCAUUGGAAACUGGGAGACUUGAGUGCAGAAGAGGAGAGUGGAAUUCCAUGUGUAGCGGUGAAAUGCGU
This 653-nucleotide ribosomal RNA is filed under the name Enterococcus sp. M165. RNAcentral's name for it is "bacterial SSU rRNA". It matches the Rfam family "Bacterial small subunit ribosomal RNA", at positions 66 to 691 of the family's 1533-position model. The record is from RNAcentral. Lineage: Bacteria; Bacillati; Bacillota; Bacilli; Lactobacillales; Enterococcaceae.